RNAcentral lists this transfer RNA (68 nucleotides) under Calliophis castoe. RNAcentral describes it as "tRNA-Ser". The record is from RNAcentral. Lineage: Eukaryota; Metazoa; Chordata; Lepidosauria; Squamata; Elapidae.
UAACCGAGGGGGAAAAUAUAUUAGACCUGCUAAGUCUUUAACCUGGUACUAAUCGCCCAGCCCCCUCU